CUUCACUAACUUGUGGACAGAAAUCAAGUUGUGUUUAAAAGAAGGAACUAGCAGUACAUUGUAAAGAGUGAUGGAAGGAGUCAAUGCAAAAGAGCCUGUGCAUGUCACUUUCACUUUAUUGCCAUUAGGAAGAGUGACAAGAUAUGACAGAGUUAAAGGUGUGAUGUUAAAAAGUAACUAUUUAUCAUGUGUCAUGUGAUUAGAGGCACC
RNAcentral lists this long non-coding RNA (210 nucleotides) under Nicotiana benthamiana. Its description in RNAcentral is "long non-coding RNA (NBEN_LNC000319)". Lineage: Eukaryota; Viridiplantae; Streptophyta; Magnoliopsida; Solanales; Solanaceae. The record is from RNAcentral.